GAUGGCGACCGGCGCACGGGUGAGUAACACGUAUCCAACCUGCCGAUAACUCGGGGAUAGCCUUUCGAAAGAAAGAUUAAUACCCGAUGGCAUAAUAGAACCGCAUGGUUUGAUUAUUAAAGAAUUUCGGUUAUCGAUGGGGAUGCGUUCCAUUAGGCAGUUGGUGGGGUAACGGCCCACCAAACCUUCGAUGGAUAGGGGUUCUGAGAGGAAGGUCCCCCACAUUGGAACUGAGACACGGUCCAAACUCCUACGGGAGGCAGCAUG
Molecule: ribosomal RNA, 267 nt
Filed under: uncultured bacterium
Lineage: Bacteria
Description: partial 16S ribosomal RNA
Rfam family: Bacterial small subunit ribosomal RNA
Source: RNAcentral